This 200-nucleotide ribosomal RNA is filed under the name Stumpffia megsoni. RNAcentral describes it as "partial large subunit ribosomal RNA". Lineage: Eukaryota; Metazoa; Chordata; Amphibia; Anura; Microhylidae. The record is from RNAcentral.
UAAACCAGCAUCACCUCUCUACAACGAGACCCAUGACUGCUAGUCUUUCGGCUGGGGCGACCACGGAGAAUAAUAAAACCCCCGAGAUGAAAGGAAACAUCCUUAUCCUAGAACUACUAUUCCAAGAAUCAACUAUGACAUUAUUGACCCAAUAUUUGAUCAACGAACCAAGCUACCCUGGGGAUAACAGCGCAAUCCAU